UAUACAGCGAAACUGCGAAUGGCUCAUUAUAUAAGUUAUCGUUUAUUUGAUAGUGCCUUACUACUUGGAUAACCGUGGUAAUUCUAGAGCUAAUACAUGCUAAAAACCCCGACUUCGGAAGGGGUGUAUUUAUUAGAUACAAAACCAAUGCCCUUCGGGGCUCUUUGGUGAUUCAUGAUAACUAUACGAAUCGCACGGCCUUGCGCCGGUGAUGGUUCAUUCAAAUUUCUUCCCUAUCAACUUUCGAUGUUUGGGUAUUGGCCAAACAUGGUUGCAACGGGUAACGGAGGGUUAGGGCUCGACCCCGGAGAAGGAGCCUGAGAAACGGCUACUACAUCCAAGGAAGGCAGCAGGCGCGCAAAUUACCCAAUCCCGACUCGGGGAGGUAGUGACAAUAAAUACUGAUACAGGGCCCUUUCGGGCCUUGUAAUUGGAAUGAGUACAAUUUAAAUCCCUUAACGAGGAACAAUUGGAGGGCAAGUCUGGUGCCAGCAGCCGCGGUAAUUCCAGCUCCAAUAGCGUAUAU
This 526-nucleotide ribosomal RNA is filed under the name uncultured eukaryote. RNAcentral's name for it is "SSU rRNA". It matches the Rfam family "Eukaryotic small subunit ribosomal RNA", at positions 75 to 604 of the family's 1831-position model. The record is from RNAcentral.